AGAGUUGAUCCUGGCUCAGAACGAACGCUGGCGGCGUGCUUAACACAUGCAAGUCGAACGUGAUCCGGAGCUUGCUCCGGUGAAAGUGGCGCACGGGUGAGUAACGCGUGGAUAAUCUGCCCUGGUAUCUGGGAUAACAUCUCGAAAGGGGUGCUAAUACCGGAUAAGCCUACGGACUCUUCGGAGUCUGCAGGAAAAGGUGGCCUCUAUUUAUAAGCUACCGUAUCAGGAUGAGUCCGCGUACCAUUAGCUAGUUGGUGGGGUAAUGGCCCACCAAGGCUACGAUGGUUAGCUGGUCUGAGAGGAUGAUCAGCCACACUGGAACUGAGACACGGUCCAGACUCCUACGGGAGGCAGCAGUGGGGAAUUUUGCGCAAUGGGGGAAACCCUGACGCAGCAACGCCGCGUGAGUGAUGAAGGCUUUCGGGUCGUAAAGCUCUGUCAGAGGGGAAGAAAUGAGUCUGGCUAAUAUCCAGAUUUCUUGACGGUACCCUCAAAGGAAGCACCGGCUAACUCCGUGCCAGCAGCCGCGGUAA
Molecule: ribosomal RNA, 536 nt
Filed under: uncultured bacterium
Lineage: Bacteria
Description: bacterial SSU rRNA
Rfam family: Bacterial small subunit ribosomal RNA
Source: RNAcentral